AGAAUCAACGCUGGCGGCGUGCCUAACACAUGCAAGUCGCACGAGAAAGGGGAGCAAUCCCUGAGUACAGUGGCGCACGGGUGAGUAACACGUGAAUAAUCUACCUCCGAGUGGGGAAUAACUGAGAGAAAUCUUAGCUAAUACCGCAUAAUACCCACGGGUCAAAGCAGCAAUGCGCUUGGAGAGGAGUUCGCGGCAGAUUAGUUAGUUGGCGGGGUAAUGGCCCACCAAGACGAUGAUCUGUAUCCGGCCUGAGAGGGCGCACGGACACACUGGAACUGAAACACGGUCCAGACUCCUACGGGAGGCAGCAGUGGGGAAUUUUGCGCAAUGGGGAAACCCUGACGCAGCAACGCCGCGUGGAGGAUGAAGCCCCUUGGGGUGUAAACUCCUUUCGAUCGGGAAGAUAAUGACGGUACCGAUAUAAGAAGCCCCGGCUAACUUCGCGCCAGCAGCCGC
RNAcentral lists this ribosomal RNA (459 nucleotides) under uncultured bacterium. RNAcentral's name for it is "SSU rRNA". It matches the Rfam family "Bacterial small subunit ribosomal RNA", at positions 26 to 518 of the family's 1533-position model. The record is from RNAcentral.